GAAAAGUUUGAUUCUUGCUUAGUGAUUUAUUGUAAUAAUUAUGCACAUGUUCAUUGGCAGUGUAAAGUCUUACACAAUUUAAAGAUGUAAAAAUUAUUAUAUAACUAGACAAAUAUUGUGCCAGCAUCUGCGGUUACACUUAAAGUUAAAAUUAAUCUUUUUAGCUAAAGUUAAUUUUAGCUCUAAUUAAAUUUUGGUUUAUUUAUGUGAAAUUAAAAAGCUUUUAUUUUAUAUAAGGUUAUUUAAAUUAAAAUAGAGUUGGUUUAAACCGGGAUUAGAGACCCCGCUAUUUUUUCGCCCCGGUUGCUUGAGUAGUAAUUGUUAUUAAUAAACUCAAAGAAUUUGGCGGUGUUUUAUUCUCAUUAGAGGAACCUGAUAUUUAAUUGAUUUUACACUUUGGAGCACUUUUAAUGUUCUUGUAUACCGUUGUCUAAGGAAUUAAUUUGUAGGUUUUUUCUGGCCCUUAAUUGGUAAAAGACAAAUCUAGGUGCAGAGUUUAAAAGUUUAAUUGGGUUACAAUUAUUUAAAUAAUACAAUUUUAAUAGGCUGCUUUAAUUUUUGUAUUGGAUUUAAGAGUAAUAUUUUGGCCUACUAAAUUUUAAUUGAGCCCUGGAACAUGUACAUAUCGCCCGUCGCUCUGGUUAUAAAAUUAGAUAAGUCGUAACAAAGUAGUAUUUCCGGAAGGAGGCGCUUGAUUGUA
This 700-nucleotide non-coding RNA is filed under the name Proisotoma minuta. Lineage: Eukaryota; Metazoa; Arthropoda; Collembola; Entomobryomorpha; Isotomidae. The record is from RNAcentral.